RNAcentral lists this unclassified non-coding RNA (329 nucleotides) under soil metagenome. Its description in RNAcentral is "partial contains 5.8S ribosomal RNA, internal transcribed spacer 2, and large subunit ribosomal RNA". The stretch from base 1 to 120 matches the Rfam family "5.8S ribosomal RNA", at positions 35 to 154 of the family's 154-position model. The record is from RNAcentral.
GAUGAAGAACGUAGCGAAAUGCGAUAAUUAAUGUGAAUUGCAGAAUUCAGUGAAUCAUCGAAUCUUUGAACGCACAUUGCGCCCCCUGGUAUUCCGGGGGGCAUGCCUGUCCGAGCGUCAUUACAACCCUCAAGCUCAGCUUGGUGUUGGGCCCCGCCGCCCCGGCGGGCCCUAAAGUCAGUGGCGGUGCCGUCCGGCUCCGAGCGUAGUAAUUCUUCUCGCUCUGGAGGUCCGGUCGUGUGCUCGCCAGCAACCCCCAAUUUUUUUCAGGUUGACCUCGGAUCAGGUAGGGAUACCCGCUGAACUUAAGCAUAUCAAUAAGCGGAGGA